Long non-coding RNA from Prionailurus viverrinus (fishing cat), 2323 nucleotides. RefSeq lists it as uncharacterized. The record is from RefSeq and is a predicted model, not a curated record. NCBI's taxonomy places the organism in Eukaryota, Metazoa, Chordata, Mammalia, Carnivora, Felidae. The transcript is spliced from 3 exons.
AAAGGGGCUGCUUACUAAAAGCGGAGCCAUUCCUGCUGAUCAAGUAUCCAUGUGGCGUUUCUGAGUUGAGGUUUAAAGGACAGCAACUACUGUGAGGUUCUUGCUACAGAUGGAUUUGCGAAUCUGAAAGCUGCUUUAGAACAGUGGAGUCAUUUUGAAUUCUACAACAACGUAAUGACUUCACAAGGUCCAAGAUGAGGAAAGGCAUAUCUUCCUCUAUGGAACUGUUUUCUUCUUGUUCAUCCACUGAGGACUCCUGGAGUCACAGAGAUACCCAAAUUUGCACUGUGCUGCAGCUCCAGGCUUGGUCUCCAGGUUGGUCUUCACAGAGAAGCAAAAGGAGCCUCAUAAUGGAAACCAUCUGUUAACAACGGAAACAGACGAUUUGGCGGAAAACAAACCGGUCUGAAGAACUAAUUGUUCACAAAGGGAACACACCCCCAUCAAUGAUUUCAAAAAUUUUCACCCAGAGAAGGCUACUCUUUCCUUUUAUAAACAAUGAUGAGUCAGAUGAAGGAACCAGCAUUGUCAUCGCUCAUACAGAAAGAUCAGAUAGAGAUAUGUUUCUCCAACCUUAUAAACACUGACUAGUCACCCUUUGGCACUACCUAUAGGAGUAUUAGUAAAUCAAAGGUUAAAGAUAGAAACAUCUUUUGAAACUUUCUCCCCACACUUAUUAAAAAGAUUUUAUAGGCUACCAAAUAUAAAAAGCACUACAAAAUUGCAUGUGUUAUUGUAAAAUCCAUGCAAAUUUAAUAUUCUGUUCCAUCAAAUAUGUACAUUUCAAUAAGAAAUGUUUCCCUAAAAUCCCUAAAUAAGGUCAAAGCUCUACAAGAAUGUGCCAAGUAUUUGUCAGAACUCUCAAAAACAACCACCCCCUAGGGGUGUGAGGAGUCCAGUUGAAAAACAUAGCCUGAGUUAACUCCACCAUCUUCUUUAAAGCUAGAAAAAGAACACAAUCACAUGAUUUCAAAGAACAUUACCACCUACUCCAACCACCUCAUUUUCUACCUUAUAAAACUAAGAUUCAAAGUGGUCAAUAAAAAUGUCUGAAGUCAAAAAGCUAGCUAGAAGCAGAACUGGAACCAGAACCUGUAUUCACCAACUGCUAGUUCAGUCCUCCUGGCUGAAGAUGAGUAAUUCUCUACAACCAGCAGGGAACAGGACUAUGGCAGGUCUCCUAUACAGACUAAUAUACGUUUGGGGGUCAUCUAAACCCUGCUGGGUGUCCAGAGUUGUCAUGGGAAGCAGGAAGAGAGGAGGCAGAACUGCCCUUCAAGUAGGGAAAGAUUGUGAGCUCUCCACGAUAAGGUGAAUUCUAGGAGGAAGUAAUAAGUCCCACUGGUACAUUCUAAAGACAGAGCCUCAAAUCUCAAUGCCAACAACAAAAUGCACUGGACUCGACAAUCCGUGGUGCUCUCUGUGCCUGACACGUCCACAUGCAGUUCUGUGGCUCUGUGGACAAGUGGCCACGUGCAAUUCUUUGUGCAGAAAGUUUUAAUCACUUCAACCACAUCAUUCUGCUAUUCUGACCACACCUGAGCGCAUCGGGGAGGGUGAUUAAGCCAAAGGUUACGAUAAAUUGGCUGAAUAUGUGACGUGCCAGUGGCUGAGGAGGCUGCUAGAAGGGAGACAGUCCCAAGGGACAGUCCUCACUGGAAGGUAAGAAACAAGACAAUCAUGCUUGCUCCUCAGUCUGAAAUCAAAUAAAUGUGUAACUAUUGCUCAAAACCAGUGAUGUUUCAUAGGAGGAGGAUGGCUGUGUAUCUACAUUUGAAUGUGGUAAAAUUUUUGUUGAUAUUCCUUUUCACUGGGGCCAAAGAUCAACAACCAACACAUCUACAUAAGAAUAUACAUAUACAGAAAACAUUGUCCCCUUCUCAGGAACGUUCUUUCUUGACACUAUUGAUAGUAAGGAGAGGGACAGAGAAGAGAAACUACACUGUAUUGUAUAUUCUCUUGAAAUACCAGUGUUCUGACAGUGGGAACUCUGUAUACUAGCAUGAAUAGUGACUCUAUCAAACAAAGUUCUUAGGAUAUUUUAGUCAAACACUUUCACUUACAUAUGAAACAACUCAAGUCCAGUUGCACAUAGCUAGCUAAAAGCCAAAAAUGGUGUUCUCAACACGCAUCUAUCACCUAGUAAGGGUGUAAUGCUGGGUUGACUAGGAAAAAUAAGGGAAGAUUCUAGAAAGGUUACACAUGAUUAUUUCAGAUCUUAAUAUUUAAUGAAUAAAACACUACCUUCCCCAAGGAAGCUGGGAAAGAAUCAGAUUCAAAAUAUUUCAGUUGAGGGGGCCUUGGGUGGCUCAGUCAGUUAAGU